This 4906-nucleotide long non-coding RNA is filed under the name Eutrema salsugineum. RNAcentral describes it as "long non-coding RNA (ESAL_LNC001096)". The record is from RNAcentral. Lineage: Eukaryota; Viridiplantae; Streptophyta; Magnoliopsida; Brassicales; Brassicaceae.
CUCCGCAUAACAGCCUACUUGACCCGGAACUUCAAAUCUGUUACGGUGCCUUUCUUUGUCCUCCAUGGUACAGAGGAUAAAGUCACUGAUCCACUAGCUUCACAAGACUUGUAUAAUCAGGCACCAUCAGUGUUCAAAGACAUCAAACUCUACGAUGGUUUCUUACACGACCUUCUCUUUGAACCCGAGCGAGAGGAUGUUGGUCGUGAUAUCAUAGAUUGGAUGAUGAAGCGGCUCGACGAUGUUAACGGAUCAGCCGCUGGCCUCUGGUAAAAGAUCAGACGAGACAUCAGAGGUCUUCUUCUUGUCUAGGUAGUUGGGAUACUAAUUAUGUGAUUCCAAACUCAGAAACCAAGUGUAGGAGAUACAUACAAUACAAUGGUUUAAUAUCUAUGAAUUGUUUGGUUAUUGGGUUGCCAAAAUUCUCGAUAGUUCUAAAAAAAAAAUCGGAAAAUGAAAUCUAGAACAAUAUUUUGAAAAAAAAAACUCCCAUAACAGCUAAUCAAAUUUAAUUGCAGAUUCUAAAUGCCAAGUGGACUAGUCUAAUAGAAGAGACGACUAUGAAGAGAUUAUAUAUUUUUCUUUGUAUAUUAAAACUAAACAAAAUGAAGUAAUCUAAACUUGAACAUUUAAUAAAAAUCUAAACCUUAAGAACUAAACCAAGAACUUAUACAAAAAUUAAUCAAAUAAAUGAGUAUAUUUAUUUUCUUAUAAAAAAUCUGGGUGGAUUAAAAGAGUUUUUGUUAAAAUAAAAGUGGACCAAUAUAGAGAUAGUAAAAUGUUUUUGUCAACAACAAUAUACACAUUAUAAAUUAAAAUCUAGGUGGGUUGAUAUUGUUAUAUUAAUUAUUUACAUUGGGCCAAUAAAAGAUAGAAAAUCUUUAUUUUAUGUAUAUAUGAUAUCUAAACACAAUAUAUUUUUAAAUAAUGAUGGCAAACAUUGAAAAACAAACAGAUUGAGAACAUUAGUGUUUGAUUAAUAUCUUUCUUUUUUUAAAAGCCAAGUGGACUGAAAAACUCCCAUGAACACAUGUAAAAAGUGAAUUUGUUUUCUAUUAUAUAAUUAUUAAUCUUUUUUAAUCUAUUUAUUUGAUAUUAUUAUUAAUAGAAACCAUAAAUAAGAAAAUAAAAUAAAAAUUUUGAAAAGAGAAAAAGACAGAGAUUGAACUUCUUAACAAUUAUAAAUACCUAAAGGAUGGAAAUAUAGAUUUAACAAAAAAAAAAUAUUAAGAAAACUUUGAAAAUAUCUAAUCUAUGGAUUCUGUUUUGAAACUUGCUGCGUUCAUAUUCAUAAUUUCUGUGGCUCAAUCUCGAGAAUCCGUUAGAAAUAUAAAAAGUUUUAAGGUAAAUUGAAAGACAAAUAAUGCAUAUAUAUAUAUAUACAUAUCCAAAUCUCAUACUAAGAUUAUAUAUAUAUAUAUAUAUUGAUUUAUGGAACAGUUAAAUGAGAAAAUUAUAUACGAUUGUGUGGAUAUAUAUAAACAACCUUCCUUACUUCAUCCAUUACUCCAAAAUCAUAAAAUUCAGGUAUUUUUUAUCAAAACCUAUUCCUGUUACCUUUCAAACUUUAUUCAUUUCAUGUAAAAUAUUGUUUUGUGCAAAAAGCUUAUUGGAUAACGUCUAAUAAAGUUUAGUUUUCACAUUAUGUAUCUAUUGUGACAAUAUAAUUUUGAAUAGAUGGAACCAUCUUUUUCCAUCUCUAAACCAAAAAAUAAAGCUAGAGAUGAAAGUAAAAGCAAAACAAAUAUUGAAUGUCCAAAUGGAACAGUUCCUAUAUUGAGGAACACAAAAGAAUACGUCGCAAAUGCUCAGUAUUGGGCAGGAAAACACUUUAAUCCACUCACUGCUGAAAGUCAUGGAACACAUGUAAGCAAAUCUACUUGAAUUGUUUAAAUUAUGAAUAUGGAUAUUAUAAAAAUACUUAUGAUAUAUUAAUUUGGAUAUUUGAAUUAAUUUGCUGGAGUUAACUCACAAGGUCAAGGUUAUCGUGGUUUGGCAGCUUGGAUGAGCGUACAUGAUUUGAAUAUUAGUAAAGAUCAAGUUUCAUAUACUGCCAUGUAUGUAGAAAGUGGAACUAACAACAAAAGAAACUCUAUCUAAACCGGUUGGAUGGUAAUUUGUUUUUGAGAAAAAAAUUAUUGAAUUUACUUUUGAUGUUAAUGUUAUUUUAUCUUUUUCUAUAUACAUUGAUUAAAAAUGCAUUAAGUUUAUAGGUGAAUCCAAGUUUAUUUGGUGACGGACGUACAUGGAGUUACGAGUUUUGGAAGGUAUAUCUAUUGAUACAUCUACAUAUUGUUCACAUUCUUUAUAAAAUCCUAGUUAGCCAUAAAAAUAAGUACGAAAGAUAUGUUAAACCAUUGUUAAGUGUGUUAAUAACAAUUUCUUUUGUUUCAUAAAAGAACAUUUGAAAAAUAUUUAUUGAGCAUGUAAAAUUAGAUUUAAAAAACUCUAAAACAGCUUGAAUGUUCAUUUUCUUCCGGGUUUGAAUGUUAAACUUAGCUGUUCGGCGCUUAUAACUGUAUGGUAAAUAGUGCUAUAUUUUACACUUUUGAUUUUUUCUUUCUGAGCUAUGUUCCUUUUAUUUGGUUAACCAACAAAUUAAUUAGUUUGAAUAUGCAUGUUGACCAAAAAAGAAAAAGAUAUGAAUGGUGUUGUUAGCAUCUUAGACAACAUUUUAAAAUCUAGAAUAAAUUUAUGGGUGAUACAUCUUUAUACUUAGUCAGUUAUUUUUUUUUUUAACUAGUCAGUUAUUCUUUAAGUAUGUGUUUUUGUUUCUAUCGUUUGAUAUACAUUAAUUUUAACUAGUUUUUUCUGUUAUCGUAUAAAUUAUCUUGAUAUAUUGGAACUAAAUACUGAUAGGGUGCCAAUGGAGCUGGUUGUUAUAAUACAAUAUGUCCGGGUUUUGUUCAAGUCUCAAAAACCGAUAUGUUAAGUAUGCCUUAUCCUUAUCCCCGCAAAGGAGAACUAGGUGUUUAUGCUAGUGUUCAACAGGUAUUCGCAUUUUUACAAACUGUAUAUAUAUAUGUAUUUGUAUUACAUGAUAUAUCAAAUCUAACAUGUAUGUUUCUUUAUAUAUGUGUAUAUAUAUAUAUUUACAAAAAGGAUAAGGAAACAGGAAAUUGGUGGACAACAGAUGUGAGAUACUUUAAAAAAGAUGUAGGUAUUGGUUACUGGCCGAAAGAGCUAUUUGAUCUUAUAGAUAAAAGUGUGGACAUGGUUGGAGUUACAGGAGCAGUCCAGUCUUCUCCUUUUGGUAUAAGUCCACCAAUGGGUAAUGGUCACCUACCAACGAAAAAUGAGGAUGAGUCUGCACGCGUUAAAAGCGUUAAAAUCAUAGAUUCUAAUUUCAAAAUCAAAGGAAGUGACAAAUAUAAGUUAGAAAAAAUAUUAGACAACGACAAAUGUUAUGGCUUAAGAGAUGGAAAGACCAAAUAUUUCUUCAAAGUAUCCAACUUGUUCACUUAUGGUGGACCUGGAGGAAAUUCUUGUGGAAUCUAAAACUAUUAAAAAGUUAUGUUUUGGUUAUUAUAAUGAAUAAUUUGGAGUAAAGGUUUCAUGUUAAAGCAUUUAAAUCUUAUAUGUAUGAAGGUAACCUUUUUUUCGACAUGUGAUCUAUAAUUUUAAUAUUUUAUGUGGUGGUACAAAGUUGGUAUAUAUAUGAUCAUCUCAUUAGUAACUGAACUAAUGCAUAGCUACAAAUUCUUUUUGUUAAUUAUACAUGUUUAUUUAAUCGAUACUUCUAAGUGAUGUAAGUAUGUGUACUUGAUUAGGACGGAAGUCGGGACAAAUUUAAUGCUACCUGAAGUCUCACUUCUGACUUUGAUUCAAUUACAUUUCCAGAGUGGCUAAUAGCAGGGCUGACCUUUUAGCCAAAAAGGCUCUUAGUGGGCUGAUUGUAGUAAGUUAAAUUUUAGUGAAGAAGAAUUGAACAAAAAAGAAAAAUAAUUAUCAUCUUUUUUUGAUAAUGCACUCAGAAUUACAACAGUUAAAAAGAAUUAUCAUCUUUUUUGUUUUGUUUUGUUGCCUUCUUUUUCUAAGAAUUAUCAUCUUACAACAGUUAUAUACAAAUGCAGUCAGAAGGGACAAGGAGGACGAGGGGUCAUGGCCAUCCAUAAAAAAAAACAUCAUAAAAUAUUUUAUAAUGGGGCCUAGCACAACUGGUUUUUUUAAUCAAGAAUUGUUUUUUUUUUAAAAAAAAUUUUUGUUUGAUAUUGUUAUAUUAGUGAUUUAUGGUCUGGCUUGUCUUUUGUAGGCGGCUUCAUCACCUUCGAUCGAAGAUAUGUUAGCCGGUAUUGUCCUAACAUCGCCUGCACUUCGUGUCAAACCUGCUCAUCCUAUUGUCGGGGUAAAUCGAGUUAGAUGCUUUGGAAAAUGUUAGUAGGUGAUCGAUCAUUCAUUAAGUCAUACUAUGUUUCUUUUGUAGGCGAUUGCUCCAUUCUUCUCGUUGGUCGCCCCAAGGUUCCAAUUCAAAGGAGCAAACAAGAGAGGCAUUCCUGUCUCAAGAGACCCUGAAGCUCUCUUAGCCAAGUACUCUGACCCGUUAGUCUACACCGGCCCCAUAAGAGUCCGAACUGGCCAUGAGAUUCUCCGCAUAACAGCCUACUUGACCCGGAACUUCAAAUCUGUUACGGUGCCUUUCUUUGUCCUCCAUGGUACAGAGGAUAAAGUCACUGAUCCACUAGCUUCACAAGACUUGUAUAAUCAGGCACCAUCAGUGUUCAAAGACAUCAAACUCUACGAUGGUUUCUUACACGACCUUCUCUUUGAACCCGAGCGAGAGGAUGUUGGUCGUGAUAUCAUAGAUUGGAUGAUGAAGCGGCUCGACGAUGUUAACGGAUCAGCCGCUGGCCUCUGGUAAAAGAUCAGACGAGACAUCAGAGGUCUUCUUCUUGUCUAGGUAGUUGGG